GAUGAACGCUGGCGGCGUGCCUAAUACAUGCAAGUCGAGCGAACAGACGAGGAGCUUGCUCCUCUGACGUUAGCGGCGGACGGGUGAGUAACACGUGGAUAACCUACCUAUAAGACUGGGAUAACUUCGGGAAACCGGAGCUAAUACCGGAUAAUAUAUUGAACCGCAUGGUUCAAUAGUGAAAGACGGUUUUGCUGUCACUUACAGAUGGAUCCGCGCCGCAUUAGCUAGUUGGUAGGGUAACGGCUUACCAAGGCAACGAUGCGUAGCCGACCUGAGAGGGUGAUCGGCCACACGGGAACUGAGACACGGUCCAGAAUACUACGGGAGGCAGAAGUAGGGAAUCUUCCGCAAUGGGCGAAAGCCUGACGGAGCAACGCCGCGUGAGUGAUGAAGGUCUUCGGAUCGUAAAACUCUGUUAUUAGGGAAGAACAAAUGUGUAAGUAACUAUGCACGUCUUGACGGUACCUAAUCAGAAAGCCACGGCUAACUACGUG
Molecule: ribosomal RNA, 497 nt
Filed under: uncultured bacterium
Lineage: Bacteria
Description: partial 16S ribosomal RNA
Rfam family: Bacterial small subunit ribosomal RNA
Source: RNAcentral